AUGUCUUUAUUUUUUAUAAACGUUUCUUAAAUUAAUGUGGUUGGAGUUAAACUUUGAUGGCUGUUCCUCUCACUGCUUGAAGCCUUAGGCAGUGGGAUUUUGAUCCAUCAUAUAUCAAAAAUGGCUUAUCUUCACUCAGGGCACCAUGAGGAUGGGCUGGCUGUCCGUUAGUGCCUUCUGAUUUUUGCGGAGUCAAACAAU
Molecule: long non-coding RNA, 201 nt
Filed under: Homo sapiens (human)
Lineage: Eukaryota; Metazoa; Chordata; Mammalia; Primates; Hominidae
Description: long non-coding RNA NONHSAT169044
Rfam family: Small nucleolar RNA SNORA79 (bases 55-201)
About the family: ACA65 (SNORA79) is a member of the H/ACA class of snoRNAs that guide the sites of modification of uridines to pseudouridines. This snoRNA was identified by computational screening and its expression in mouse experimentally verified by Northern blot and primer extension analysis.
Source: RNAcentral